RNAcentral lists this long non-coding RNA (345 nucleotides) under Bos taurus (domestic cattle). Its description in RNAcentral is "long non-coding RNA NONBTAT026670". Lineage: Eukaryota; Metazoa; Chordata; Mammalia; Artiodactyla; Bovidae. The record is from RNAcentral.
UUUCUGCUCUUUUCCCCAUUCUCAGAAAAAUAAUCCAGCUUCAUUGUAGGGAAAAAAAAAUCACACAGCAGACAAGUCAACAGAAGAAAAUUAAUUUCACAAGAAAUCAGUCCUAAUAACCUCCCUGAAUCAUUUUCUUCUGCAUCUAUCUAAUAGUUACUAUGAAGUACCUAAAACAUAUUAGGCUGUAUCUUUCUAGUAUUUUUCUGAUUCAUUUGUCAUGUAUGUAUAUAGUAAUGUACAUAUUGUUUUUAUACUUGCUUUUUGACACCUAAAUAUGUGUGUGUAUGUUUAUACACACAAUACUCUUUAACUUCAUUUCAUUAAAGAUAAUUUUAAAACAUU